This is a non-coding RNA of Monodelphis domestica (gray short-tailed opossum), 3169 nucleotides long. NCBI's taxonomy places the organism in Eukaryota, Metazoa, Chordata, Mammalia, Didelphimorphia, Didelphidae. The record is from RefSeq and is a predicted model, not a curated record.
GAGGGGCUCGGGAUCUGGCCGAUCGCCCGCCCUCCAGGCUGGGGUUCUCACUUUAGCUCCUGGGCGCUCCUACUGCUACGCGUUAGGCAAGCCAGGUGCGCCAGAUUCUGCCCCAGGUGGAAGGAGAAUGUAGCCGUUUGGAAUGAAGUUGCUUAUCUCGACCAGGAAUGCAAAUCACAGGGGUCCAAAAAUCCAAGCUAAGUGUUGCAUCUAAUGAACUAAUCAACCAGUAAGCACUUAUUAAGGGUGCCAGACAUUAUGUUAACUACAUAGAGCAGGAUUACCACAAUUCCAGCCCACCAGAAGCCAGAAGCAAUGCCAGCUUUGGAAAGGACCUUGAUGGGACCAAUGCUAGGUUGUUGGUUGUUGAAUUCAUGAGGAUGUUAAUCAUGGAGGACCUUGAAUUCUACCUUGGGAUCUUAGCCAUCUCAUAUGCUAUUGAAAAAAGAGUGUUCAUAAAUGUUUCACAAGCAACUCUCCUUAAAAAAAUGUAUGCAUAACAUAUUUUAAAAUUUACUCUGCAUUGUUAAUUUCCAGAACACUUUAAGUCUAGAGAGUCAGUAAAAUUAACCAAAUCCUGAUUUGUAGCAUUUGCCCAUUUCCAAGAUGUAUUUACACUUGUCUCUUGUGAGCUGGUAUAAGGAAGCAGGUAUACCCCAACUGUUAUAUAAAACCAUUUUAAACAUUGUAUUUACUAGAUCCAGUAACAAAGAAUUGCUAUCAACCUGUAUGAUUCCUUUGUAAAAUAAGGUCUGAUUGUUUCAUAAACAUUGUUACUAUAACUUCACACACACACACUUUUUUAUAAAUGAAGAUAAAACUUCCCGGCCCGGGAGAAGUUUAAAGGUAGGAAAAUAGAAACAGGAUAGAAGUUUUGAAUCCCGCGAAGGGUGUGAAAGAGCCGACCUUAGAGAUGUGAAUAAAUGAGUCAGUAAUCAAUUAUUAAUAUUCGGGAGCCACAGCCCUGCUCCAACCACUGGACGUUACUAUUUAGGCUAUUCCCAUCCAAUGAUCCCAAUUUAACACUGCACUGGUCAGAGGAUAAUACUAGCUCAGUAGGAAAGGAGAUUUAGAUACUAAAGGAGUUAGAUAAUGCUAGGUAUUAGCAUUGGAAAAGAGAGAGAGAGAGAGGGAGGCCUGACCGAAGGGCCAGGCCUCAGGGAAAAAGAUAGAGAGGAGAGAGAAAGGGGAGAAGUUGCUCCUUGGCAAACCUGUCGAUGUCCUCGAAGUGGGAGGAGCUGGCUGCGUCCCUUUCUUUUAUUCUCUUUGAUAUACAAAUGAGCUCAAUACAUAUUGAUAAGUUACAUGAUGCCUCAAUACAUAUAGAUGAGUUACAUAGUGUAUUGCCAUUGGAUAAUUGCAAAUUAUGACAAGGUGAAGGUGGGGUUAUUAUCCUCAGGUGAGUGAGACAAAGGGAAGCAAGGUUUUGCACCCUAACUUCAGCCACACUGAGAAUAGAGUUCAUUGCCAUGCUCAGAAUGGCCAUGUGCUCACUCACAAUCCUUGUCUCUCCAUAAUACCUAUGGGCUGGACUGCUACAGAAGAAAUUGAGGCCAAGAGAUUUAAAAACUUGUCCCCAGGUCACAUAGCUAGUAAAUGCCCAAGGUAGGAUUUGAACUUGAGUCUUCUUGACUCUGAAGCCCAUACACCAGCCACUAAGUUGUCUAGCUAUCUCAAAAAAAAAAAAUCAACCUUCACUAUUUCAUCAGAAAUAAACUAAUCAAAUUUGAACCAUGAUAACUCAAAGAGAAGGAAAAAAUUCCCCAAAGGGGGAAACUUUUUUGUGUCUUUGAAAAUAUCUCAGACUUAAAUUAUUCCUAAAGAAAAUAUUCUAUAAUCAGGAAACAAAGGGAAAUAAUAAAAUCAGAUAAAAUAAGAGAAAGUUCAGCUUUAAGGUUUCACCAACUAAUGCUAUAAAAAUGCUAUUAUUGCCAGGUGCACAUCACUCUUAUGGAAUAAUCUUCUGGAACUUCCUAGAGUUCCUGGAACUCAAACUAAGGGGCUCCUUAACUCUACAAAAAAGCCAUACUAAGAUAAAUUAAAUUCAAAUGAGGACUCUCUUUUCAAUGUAGUUAACAGUUCCAAAGGGGAAAUUAAUUAAACUUUCAAAGUAUGUCCUUGUACUUCAUGAUCCCAGUCACUUCUGAGGAGAGUCAGGAAUCCUGACAGACUUUGAGAAAUGAUUUGGGUUUCCAUAAUAAGGAGAUCAAGGACUCCACCACCACCACUCCCCAAAUAUAAUAAAAAGGGAAAAACACAGUCUUUGUAAGAAAUAAUCAUAGUUAAUGGAAGCAAAUCAAUCUAUUUGUCAUGUUCCGAAACCUAAAUCUUAUUCUAUAUCUCCUUUGUCAGGAGGGUUGGUCUUCUAGAAUGAUGGUUGGCCAUUGCAUUGGUCAGAGUUCUCAAGCCUUUCCAAAUUGUUGAGCUUUACAAUAUGGUAGUUAUAGUAUAAGUUGUUCUCCUUGUUCUGCUCACUUUACACUGCAUUAGUACAUUCAAGUCUUCCUAGGUUUCUCUGAAACUCUCCCUUUGAUUAUUUCUUAUGACACAAUAAAUAGUCUAUUAAUCAAUCAAUAACCAUUAUUAAGUGACUAUCAUGUUCCAGGCAAGCACCAGGGAAACAUAUACAAAGAUUAAAUAGUCGCUACUCAUAAAAAAGCUGUUAAUGGGUGAGACAAGUGCAUUAUGUAUAUAUUUGUGUGUGUGUGUAAUAUAUCUAAUAAAUUUAAUUUUUUCAUAAAGUAUUUUACAUAUUAAAACCUAACCAAAAAUUAAUUGUAUUGCUUAGAAUUUCUUUAUAAACAAUAACAGAUAAACUUGAACAAUUACUUUUCACAAGAAGCCAAUAAAAAUGUGUUUUAGACAGUCAUUCUAUAUAUUCUAGUACAGGUUAGAAGAGAAGAAAGACUGACUGUUUUUGGCAAAGAGAAAAAACAAAGGAAAGUAAUUAAACCUGUUAAAAUGUUUCAUAGUACUGAAUAUGAAUAACUGACAUUUAUGGAUCACUUCAUGGUUCACUAAGUGCUUUACACACUCAUUUUAUCCCCACAACAGUCCUGUAAGUGUUAUUGGUACUCUUACACACACACACACACAUACAUAUAUAUAUUUGUAUAUAUGUAUAUUUAUCUAUAAAGCAAUAUGAAAUUAUCAAAUAAACAAAAACAGG